UUCCUUCAAAUCGAACAUCUCGGUGGUGCAAUCCAUCACCGUUCCAGUGAGCCUAGAGGACCAGAUGAAGAUGAUUGAUGUUCUUUCAUACGUCACCACUGAGAGACUCUGUUUAAUGGUUACUGUAAUGGUUCACAUGCUUGACAGAAAGGUGUAGAAAAAUGUAGGCAGAUCAUGUUGCUGCUCUCUUAUAACCUUAGCGGUAGUGCUAGAAAAGUAGCAACAUUCUUAACUCUGGUUUUAUAUUGAAACAGGGUGGACCAAACCAGUGCAGAAUUUAUCAUUUUUGACCUUUUCUUGAUCUUUACUCUGUCUGUGGCAGAUAUUUACAGAGUGUCACGGAGAGAAGCAUGACUGAUGGAGGGAGAGGAAUAAGUGUUGUAGAGAGAAGAGAAUUUUUUUGUACAAAACUUUGCUGUUGUUGAGAUGGCUAGCUUCUUCCACAACAAAUGCGCUUUUAAGGAGCAGUUUGCAGAGCUGCAAAUGGGCCACUAACAUAAUUUACAGUGACAUAAUCAUUGUGUUUACCGUCACCCCGGGCUAAAUGAGUUUACAGUGAUGCAUGUUUAAAAAAAAAAAAAAAGACUUGUGAACUGCCACUAAUGGUGGCAUUCUUUCAUGACUGUCUCACUUAGGCUUAGAUUUUAGAUUGCCAGGAGAAGCACAGAUGUGUGCAGUGAUCAGAAGUAGAGCAAGCCACCACAGGGGGAGAGGGAGAGAAUCGCACGUGACUGGUAGACUGCAGAGUAUGUCUGCAAAGUCAUCUGAGGUCGGUCAGUCUGUGUGAUGAGAUAAAUGACGCAGAGUUAGGGCCCAGGCUGAGUACAACACAGUGACGCACAGGCCAAAGGUUUGCGCUUUGCAUAGCAGAACAGAUAACAAUUGAACCUUGGCUCUGUUUACAGACAAGAAAGCCACACAGAGAGUUUCAAGUGAGAAAGAAAAACUGGAUUUAUGUCACUGCAUUAAGCUACACAAUUAGGCUCCAGCACUGGCGGAGCUUCCACCUGGAGUCUAUCAUCUUGGAAAUUGCAGUGGUGGCUUUAGUGGGACCAGUGAGACCACAGUGGCAGUGGCUGCUUGGUGAUGUUCUGAGGCUCAGCACAGUAAAUACUCCAAAACAGAAGAGAGUGGAGGAAAGGGAAAGAGAGAUGAAGCUGGGGGAUUGCAGUAGAGCGAAAACUGGCCUUCCUCCAGAUCCAUCCAAAGUGCAAUCUGGGUAGCUGUAUGCUUAUUCUGUGAACAUACAACUCCUACAGGAUGAGAGGUGACUGGAUCUUGCCACUGGAUGCUACACAUCAUCCAUGUUAGCCAGGAUUUGACUUCACUCCCAGUUCUUCAAAGGCUGAAAUACGCAUUUCCCCCCCUACUUUCCUGUUGGAUCUAGGGGCAGACAUAUUCCUUUCAUCAGAAGGUGCUUUUCUCUGACAGCACAGAUUAGUGAGAGGCAAAAGCAUUUUGAAAUGCAAGGCUCAUUUCAUUGCUCACACACUGAGUCUUUAUAAUGCUUUGCAUUAAUAAAUGGUUCAUCCAAGGUCUUCUAGCUGUCGUCCUAUUAAAUUCAGCAUAUAAAAAAUGUAUGUAAGCUCACGUCACACAAGGUAUACUGAAUUCAAAUGAUGCCAGCAGCUCUGUGCAGGUGCAGAAAGACAGCCACUUCACAUUUGUUUGAUCUCUAUUAAGAAAGUUUAAAUUAAAGUGAAGGGAGAAGACUAGCAAGCAAGGACUGAUGGGAGACACGGAGAUGAAAUUAGUUACUUUACUUCAUGCUCAGGUUGCUUAUGACAUUAGGGGUACUUGGUGACAUAAACACUCUGGGCUUGGCCUCAUCUUUCUCAGCUGGAGUGUGGAGCCUCACCGUGGGAUUUGGAGUUCCUGUAAACCCUGCCUUCUGUUGUUUACACUUAGGCUAAAGCUGAUGUUUCAGGGAGCCAUUCUGCCCACCUGGAGAUCUCCUCAGAAAUCUGUAGGCUGUGUAUCUGUGUAUUAUCGAAACACAGCAAACGUACUUGCUUUGCUUAAUCAUUAUUUUCUUUAAGUCAAAUUUCAAGCCAAAUUUUAAAAUGUGACUAUGGUGAUCCCCUGUGAAAUAGUCACUGUCAAAUCUAUAUCCAAGUAGGAACACUGUAAGGCUUUUCUUUGAACUUAUAUCAGUAGGCUGACCUGCUCACAACAAUAAUACAUGACAUUAAGCAAAUACAGUAUAUUUAUGACAUAUUCAUGCUCUUAGUUAAGCAUGGUAAGCACAGACUGUAUAUAAAAGAUGUACAUUUUUACAUAUAGCAAAGCCAACACAGAGGCCAUCAGGAGAUAAUAGGUAUGAUUAUGGAAAGCCUUCCAGUCCUAUGGAUGUCUAUGGGAAAAUGGGACCUCUGUAAGCUCACAUCACAGAAGAUAAACACUGAGUUAACAGGCUUAGUCACUCAUUUCAGGUCAAACUAAAUAACAUGUAAAGUCCAUUUUGCUCAUUUUGGUCAUUCUAAGUGUCACUAAACAGGACUAUCCAGGAGAUGUUCACUGGUUAACAAUUUGUUACUGAUAAAUUAUUAGCAAGUGAUUCGUCACCACACUCAGUUUCAAAACAUCAAGCUGGUGAGGACCUCUUAGCCUUUACUGAUGUGACACUGCCACACCUAUGAGAUUUAGCAGCAGACGGGCAUGCUACCUUCCACAGGCAACCGUGGGUACAAGAUUUUCACUAUUUCCAGGAUGGAUGUAAACAGACAGUAAGAGAUCUUUUACAAAACAGAGCACAUACAGAGAGAGCUCACAUUGACUUUUAUAAAUAAUAAACUGAUGCAUUGCUUGCCCCGCUUCUCCUCACUGCAUGCCCAUGGUUUAUAGUUUGUGCACUGGCUUCUUGAAGCAUUUCAAGCCUUCAACUAUUAUGACUGUUGACAUCACCUAAGUGCCUAUGUUUGUACAAAAGGAAGACUGCUAAGUUAUUGGGUAAAGUGUUCAAUCGUGUUUGGAAAGGUACUUUCAUAGACUUUAA
This is a long non-coding RNA of Oreochromis niloticus (Nile tilapia), 2995 nucleotides long. RefSeq lists it as uncharacterized. The transcript has 2 exons. The record is from RefSeq and is a predicted model, not a curated record. Lineage: Eukaryota; Metazoa; Chordata; Actinopteri; Cichliformes; Cichlidae.